Molecule: ribosomal RNA, 881 nt
Filed under: uncultured bacterium
Lineage: Bacteria
Description: bacterial SSU rRNA
Rfam family: Bacterial small subunit ribosomal RNA
Source: RNAcentral
AUUGAACGCUGGCGGCAUGCCUAACACAUGCAAGUCGAACGGUAACAGGUCUCGGGUAACCGAGAUGCUGACGAGUGGCGGACGGGUGAGUAAUACGUAGGAAUCUGCCUUUUAGUUUGGGACAACUCGGGGAAACUCGAGCUAAUACCGAAUAAGUCCUGAGGGAGAAAGCUAGGGAGUCGAAAGACCCUGGCGCUAAAAGAUGAGCCUACGUCGGAUUAGCUAGUUGGUAAGGUAAUGGCUUACCAAGGCGACGAUCCGUAGCUGUUCUGAGAGGAAGAUCAGCCACACUGGGACUGAGACACGGCCCAGACUCCUACGGGAGGCAGCAGUGGGGAAUAUUGGACAAUGGGGGAAACCCUGAUCCAGCAAUGCCGCGUGUGUGAAGAAGGCCUGAGGGUUGUAAAGCACUUUUGUUAAGGAAGAAGAUAUGUUGUUUAAGAGAUAGCAUAUUUGACGUUACUUAAAGAAAAAGCACCGGCUAACUCUGUGCCAGCAGCCGCGGUAAUACAGAGGGUGCGAGCGUUAAUCGGAAUGACUGGGCGUAAAGGGCGCGUAGGCGGGCUAAUAAGUCAAGUUUAAAAUCCCCGGGCUUAACCUGGGAAUGAGACGUGAUACUGUUGGUCUUGAAUAUUGGAGAGGAGAGUGGAAUUUCCGGUGUAGCGGUGAAAUGCGUAGAUAUCGGAAGGAACACCAGUGGCGAAGGCGACUCUCUGACCAAAUAUUGACGCUGAGGUGCGAAAGCGUGGGGAGCGAAGAGGAUUAGAUACCCUCGUAGUCCACGCCGUAAACGAUGAAAACUAGCUGUUGGAGUGGAAGCACUUUAGUAGCGAAGCUAACGCGAUAAGUUUUCCGCCUGGRGAGUACGGCCGCAAGGUUAA